GACGAACGCUGGCGGCGUGCCUAAUACAUGCAAGUAGAACGCUGAAGGAGGAGCUUGCUUCUCUGGAUGAGUUGCGAACGGGUGAGUAACGCGUAGGUAACCUGCCUGGUAGCGGGGGAUAACUAUUGGAAACGAUAGCUAAUACCGCAUAACAGUAGAUAUCGCGUGAUAUCUACUUGAAAGGUGCAAUUGCAUCACUACCAGAUGGACCUGCGUUGUAUUAGCUAGUUGGUGAGGUAACGGCUCACCAAGGCGACGAUACAUAGCCGACCUGAGAGGGUGAUCGGCCACACUGGGACUGAGACACGGCCCAGACUCCUACGGGAGGCAGCAGUAGGGAAUCUUCGGCAAUGGACGGAAGUCUGACCGAGCAACGCCGCGUGAGUGAAGAAGGUUUUCGGAUCGUAAAGCUCUGUUGUAAGAGAAGAACGAGUGUGAGAGUGGAAAGUUCACACUGUGACGGUAUCUUACCAGAAAGGGACGGCUAACUACGUG
This 495-nucleotide ribosomal RNA is filed under the name uncultured bacterium. RNAcentral describes it as "partial 16S ribosomal RNA". It matches the Rfam family "Bacterial small subunit ribosomal RNA", at positions 28 to 507 of the family's 1533-position model. The record is from RNAcentral.